RNAcentral lists this ribosomal RNA (263 nucleotides) under uncultured Enterobacteriaceae bacterium. Its description in RNAcentral is "partial 16S ribosomal RNA". It matches the Rfam family "Bacterial small subunit ribosomal RNA", at positions 67 to 339 of the family's 1533-position model. Lineage: Bacteria; Pseudomonadati; Pseudomonadota; Gammaproteobacteria; Enterobacterales; Enterobacteriaceae. The record is from RNAcentral.
CUUGCUGCUUUUGCUGACGAGUGGCGGACGGGUGAGUAAUGUCUGGGAAACUGCCUGAUGGGAGGGGGAUAACUACUGGAAACGGUAGCUAAUACCGCAUAAUGUCGCAAGACCAAAGAGGGGACCUUCGGGCCUCUUGCCAUCAGAUGUGCCUAGAUGGGAUUAGCUAGUAGGUGGGGUAACGGCUCACCUAGGCGACGAUCCCCUAGCUGGUCUGAGAGGAUGACCCAGCCACACUGGAACUGAGACACGGUCCAGACUCC